GUCCUGGGAAGUCCUUGUGUUGCACCCC
RNAcentral lists this ribosomal RNA (28 nucleotides) under Platanus orientalis. The record is from RNAcentral. Lineage: Eukaryota; Viridiplantae; Streptophyta; Magnoliopsida; Proteales; Platanaceae.